Molecule: ribosomal RNA, 425 nt
Filed under: uncultured bacterium
Lineage: Bacteria
Description: partial 16S ribosomal RNA
Rfam family: Bacterial small subunit ribosomal RNA
Source: RNAcentral
GUGGGGAAUAUUGGACAAUGGGCGCAAGCCUGAUCCAGCAAUGCCGCGUGGGUGAAGAAGGUCUUCGGAUCGUAAAGCCCUUUCGACAGGGACGAUGAUGACGGUACCUGUAGAAGAAGCCCCGGCUAACUUCGUGCCAGCAGCCGCGGUAAUACGAAGGGGGCUAGCGUUACUCGGAAUUACUGGGCGUAAAGGGCGCGUAGGCGGCUCUGUUAGUCAAGCGUGAAAUUCCUGGGCUUAACCUGGGGACUGCGCUUGAUACUGCAGGGCUUGAGGCCGAGAGAGGGUGGUGGAAUUCCCAGUGUAGAGGUGAAAUUCGUAGAUAUUGGGAAGAACACCGGUGGCGAAGGCGACCACCUGGCUCGGUUCUGACGCUGAGGCGCGACAGCGUGGGGAGCAAACAGGAUUAGAAACCCCGGUAGUCC